GGGGACCAGGUGGAUGGACUGGGGACCAGGUGGAUGGACUGGGGACCAGGUGGAUGGACUGGGACCAGGUGGAUGGACUGGGGACCAGGUGGAUGGACUGGGACCAGGUGGAUGGACUGGGGACCAGGUGGAUGGACUGUGGACCAGGUGGACCAGGUGGAUGGACUGGGGACUAGGUGGACCAGGUGGAUGGACUGGGGACUAGGUGGACCAGGUGGAUGGACUGUGGACCAGGUGGACCAGGUGGAUGGACUGUGGACCAGGUGGACCAGGUGGAUGGACUGUGGACCAGGUGGAUGGACUGUGGAACAAAAGA
This is a long non-coding RNA of Oncorhynchus tshawytscha (Chinook salmon), 316 nucleotides long. The record is from Ensembl. NCBI's taxonomy places the organism in Eukaryota, Metazoa, Chordata, Actinopteri, Salmoniformes, Salmonidae.